This 1141-nucleotide ribosomal RNA is filed under the name Afrostelis sp. 1 JRL-2012. Its description in RNAcentral is "eukaryotic LSU rRNA". It matches the Rfam family "Eukaryotic large subunit ribosomal RNA", at positions 582 to 1227 of the family's 3401-position model. Lineage: Eukaryota; Metazoa; Arthropoda; Insecta; Hymenoptera; Megachilidae. The record is from RNAcentral.
CCAAAAGAUCGAAUGGGGAGAUUCAUCGUCAACGACGCCGGCUCCCGUUGGUGCGCGAUGCCCCGGGACGGACCUUUCGGGGUUCCGUUACCGUGUGGGCACACCAUCAUCGGCGAACGUUCCGGCGAAGUAGUCGUGCACUUCUCCCCUAGUAGAACGUCGCGACCCGUUGCGUGUCGGUCUACGGUCCGAGGCGGAGCCUCUCCGUGUCGCGUUUACGCGCGUUCGUGAGAGACCCUCGGUUAUACCCGGCCGACUGCGCGACGGUACACGAAACGGUAUCGGGCCGCAACCAAUCCAUUUUCGAAUGUGAAUGUGCGUCAGGACCGCCGCAAGCUCGGUCCAGUAAUUAUACCCGGAUGAACGGACUAUGCGCCGUUCCCGGGACUGGCUAGCUGUUGGCAGGCGGAGUCCUUGGACUGGCCAAGCUUCGAAUUACCGGUCGGCGACGCUAUUGCUUUGGGUACUUUCAGGACCCGUCUUGAAACACGGACCAAGGAGUCUAACAUGUGCGCGAGUCAUUGGGAUUUAUAAAUAAACCUAAAGGCGAAAUGAAAGUGAAAGUCGUCCUUUGCGUCGACCUAGGGAGGAUGGGCCUCGUUACGAUUAGGCCUCGCACUCCCGGGGCGUCUCGUUCUCCGAUUUAUUUCGCGAGAAGAGGCGCACCCAGAGCGUACACGUUGGGACCCGAAAGAUGGUGAACUAUGCCUGGUCAGGACGAAGUCAGGGGAAACCCUGAUGGAGGUCCGUAGCGAUUCUGACGUGCAAAUCGAUCGUCGGAACUGGGUAUAGGGGCGAAAGACUAAUCGAACCAUCUAGUAGCUGGUUCCCUCCGAAGUUUCCCUCAGGAUAGCUGGCACUCGUUCGAUAAAAAUGUGCGAGUCUCAUCUGGUAAAGCGAAUGAUUAGAGGCCUUGGGGCCGAAACGACCUCAACCUAUUCUCAAACUUUAAAUGGGUGAGAUCUCUGGCUUGCUUGAAUUAUAUCAAAUGAAGCCACGAGAUAUAUAUUUGGUUAAAUAUGAUUGGAUCAGAGUGCCAAGUGGGCCAAUUUUGGUAAGCAGAACUGGCGCUGUGGGAUGAACCAAACGCAGAGUUAAGGCGCCUAAGUCGACGCUUAUGGGAUACCAUGAAAGGCGUUGG